RNAcentral lists this long non-coding RNA (381 nucleotides) under Mytilus galloprovincialis (Mediterranean mussel). The record is from RNAcentral. Lineage: Eukaryota; Metazoa; Mollusca; Bivalvia; Mytilida; Mytilidae.
GUUCAGGAGUUAUGGUUCUUGAAAGAUUGAAAAAUGGAGUUUUCAGUCGUGUCCGUGCAUUUACUCAUGAACUGUUCUACCAAAGCUUCCCAAAUUUUAAUAUGUUGUUACUGAUGACAGAAUGGAGGUCAAGUUCAAUAAUGACGAUUUUGACUUUUACCGUUCAGGAGUUAUGGUUCUUGAAAGAUUGAAAAAUGGAGUUUCCAGUCGUGUCCGUGCAUUUAUGCAUGAACUGUUCUACCAAAGCUUCCGAAAUUUUUAAUAUGCUGUUACUGAUGACAAAAUGGAGGUCAAGUUCAAUAAUGACGAUUUUGACUUUUACCGUUCAGGAGUUAUGGUUCUUGAAAGAUUGAAAAAUGGUGUUUCCCGUCGUGUCCGUGC